Molecule: transfer RNA, 43 nt
Filed under: Mecaphesa nigrofrenata
Lineage: Eukaryota; Metazoa; Arthropoda; Arachnida; Araneae; Thomisidae
Description: tRNA-Leu
Source: RNAcentral
UAGUAAUAAAUCUAAUUUAAACUUUAACUUUAAUUAAUCUUAA